AUUGAACGCUGGCGGCAGGCCUAACACAUGCAAGUCGAGCGGAAGAAGGGCGCUUGCUCCUGGAUUCAGCGGAGGACGGGUGUGUAAUGCCUAGGAGUCUGCCUGGUAGGGGGGGAUAAAGUCCAGAAACGGGCGCUAAUACCGCAUAAGCUAUGAGGGAGAAAGGGGGGGAUCUUCGGACCUCGCGCUCUCAGAUGAGCCUAGGUCGGAUUAGCUAGUUGGUGGGGUAAAGGCAUACCAAGGCGACGAUCCGUAACUGGUCUGAGAGGAUGAUCAGCCACACUGGAACUGAGACACGGUCCAGACUCCUACGGGAGGCAGCAGUGGGGAAUUUUGGACAAUGGGCGAAAGCCUGAUCCAGCCAUGCCGCGUGUGUGAAGAAGGUCUUCGGAUUGUAAAGCACUUUUAGUUGGGAGGAAGGGCAGUAAGUUAAUACCGUGCUGUUUUGACGGUACCAAAAGAAUAAGCACCGGCUAACUUCGUG
This 484-nucleotide ribosomal RNA is filed under the name uncultured bacterium. RNAcentral's name for it is "partial 16S ribosomal RNA". It matches the Rfam family "Bacterial small subunit ribosomal RNA", at positions 30 to 507 of the family's 1533-position model. The record is from RNAcentral.